RNAcentral lists this ribosomal RNA (445 nucleotides) under uncultured bacterium. RNAcentral's name for it is "bacterial SSU rRNA". It matches the Rfam family "Bacterial small subunit ribosomal RNA", at positions 335 to 774 of the family's 1533-position model. The record is from RNAcentral.
ACUCCUACGGGAGGCAGCAGUAGGGAAUCUUCCACAAUGGACGAAAGUCUGAUGGAGCAACGCCGCGUGAACGAUGAAGGCCUCGGUCGUAAAGUUCUGUUGUAAGGGAAGAACAAGUGCCGCAGGCAAUGGCGGCACCUUGACGGUACCUUGCGAGAAAGCCACGGCUAACUACGUGCCAGCAGCCGCGGUAAUACGUAGGUGGCAAGCGUUGUCCGGAAUUAUUGGGCGUAAAGCGCGCGCAGGCGGCCUCUUAAGUCUGAUGUGAAAGCCCCGGCUCAACCGGGGGAGGGCCAUUGGAAACUGGGAGGCUUGAGUAUAGGAGAGAAGAGUGGAAUUCCACGUGUAGCGGUGAAAUGCGUAGAGAUGUGGAGGAACACCAGUGGCGAAGGCGACUCUUUGGCCUAUAACUGACGCUGAGGCGCGAAAGCGUGGGGAGCAAACA